This is a long non-coding RNA of Sarcophilus harrisii (Tasmanian devil), 7640 nucleotides long. Lineage: Eukaryota; Metazoa; Chordata; Mammalia; Dasyuromorphia; Dasyuridae. The record is from Ensembl.
UCUCCCUCCUCAUUCCCGACUGCAGCGGGAGGGGAAGGAAAAGCUGGGCACUGAGGCGGGGCCCCAUGGUGGGCUCAUCCCUGCCACCUUCCCUCACGGCCACCCUACGCGGCAGAAGACGGAAGGUGCUCCAUCAGAGAGAGGUCAGCCUCCCCUGCACACCUGAGGCGGACCCGCACAAGCUCAGGCGGAAGUCUCUCUUGCGAGGGGACCAUCUCCUUGGGCGGAGCCCCUCCGCCUCCCCUGGGGGAACUGCGGCAGGAGAUAGAGCGCACAUGCGCAGUCAGCGCGGGUCGCGCCCUCUUCUCCAGAGGUCUGGCUACGUCUCGGAAAAUUCUGCGCAGUCACCUGCCUCCGCCCAAGAUGUGGAGAGGGCGCCUGAGGAAGGGAAGGGAAGGGGGAGAUCCGGAGAGGCUGGCGCGCCCCAGGACAGCCAAGAAAAUGGCCAGGCCCCCGCAAUCCCCAUCUGUUUGGAGCCACCCGCCUGCGGAACCGAUGAUCGGGCGGCAGCCGCCGCCGCUGCGCUGGGGAUGGGUCUGCAGGGUGGAUCCCCGGAGAUUGCCCCACUGGUCUCAUAUCUUGGUCAUAGAGUGAUCCCCUCGUUGGCUCCCUCCAGGAAGCUUUGCUUGGACACCUGCCUAAGGAACCUAAAGCGGUCCGGAGGGCGGCGGCUGCCCUGGUGGGAAUGGGUCCGAAGGGCGGACCCCUGCAGGCUCCCGCGGCGCGGCUGGCCUUCUGUGGCUUUAGUUAAACUACCGGCCCAGGGAACCUUCCAAAGGACAUGCCGCGCGGCGGGUCCGAAGGCCGGACCCCUGCAGGAUCCCGCAGGCGCGGCUGGCCUUCUGUGGCUUUAGUUAAACUACCGGCCCAGGGAACCUUCCAAAGGACAUGCCGCGGGGCAGGUCCGAAGGGCGGAUCUCUGGAGGACACUGCGCCGUACCACGGGCUGGCGUUCUGCGGCUUUCGUUAAACUGCCGGCCCGGGAACCUCCCGAACGACAUACCGCGGGAUUGGGUCCGAAGGGCGGACCCCUGCAGGCUCCCGCAGGCGCGGCUGGCGUAAUGCGGCUUUAGUUAAACUGCCGGCCGGGAACCUCCCGAAGGACAUGCCGCGGGAUUGGGUCCGAAGGGCGGAUCCCUGGAGGACACUGCACUGCCCGCGGGGCUCUCAGCUUGGCCCCAGAGAUUCCCGCUGCUCCCAGGCCAGUCUGCUGAGAUUCAGCCACCUGCCUGGGAAACUUGAGCUCAGCGGCAGAGGGUACAGCUGUUGCUAUGGUGGCCAUGGGCCCGGAGGGUGGGUCCCUGGCGGAGAUUGCGCCACUGGGCUCAUAUGGUGGUCAUAGAGUGUUCGCCGCUGCUGCCGCCGGGCUCACAUCCCGGUCAUAGAGAGAUCGCCACUGGACUCACAUCCUGGUCAUAGAGUGAUCGCACUGCCCAGCUUUGGUAGAGGGAGCUGCCCAAGAAACCUGAGAGGACUGGGAGGGCGUGGCGCAGCCGCAGCUGUCUUUUUGGGGAUGGGUCCAGAGGGCGGCUCCCUGCACGAGACUGCGCCAUUGCCGCGGAUCCAACACCCUGGUCUAGGGACCUGCCUAGGAAAGCUGAGGGGAUCGGGAGGGCGCGCAUCGCUCUUUGAGAGGAGGAUCCAGAAGGCGGAUCCCUGCGCCCCAGCAUCCCCCGCCCCUAUCCACAGGGCGGAUCCCCGGUCCAGAAGGCGGAUCCCUAUUCUUGAAGGUAGAUCCCUGCGGCACAGGGCUCACAUCCUGGUCAUUGAAUGAUCUCCAUCUGCUAGUCCCGGAGUUUGGACUGAGCCACCUGCCCGGGGAGAUGACUGAGGUCACGCUGCUGCCUUUGAGGUGCCCCCACGGGCAAGCUCCUCCCGGCCCUCACCAGGCAGCAGCAGCAGUGAGCAGCCGGAGGCCUUGGGCGGUGUCCCGGAUCCCGCAGUCAGGGUGCAACAGCAGCAGAUCGCAGGCGAGACCCUUUACCGAGACGGCUUCUACAUCAGGCCUUUAUAAGGGGAAGGAGGUGCUGAUGGUGGCCGCUGUAGUGGCAAUGGCAGAAAUAGUAGCAAUGGAGGUAAUGGUGGCAAUGGCAGAAAUAGUAGCAAUGGCGGUGAUUCCAGUGGCAAUGGUGGUUCCAGUGGCAGAUAACCUCACAAACGUUAAAAGGUCAGAAGAGAAGUGACCAGCAUCCGGGAGCCAGAGUUCAGGAUGGGAUUUUAAAUGGUGAGGAGCGAGGGCCCAGGCCAGCAGCAGCAGCAGCAGAAGGCCGGACCGCUCCAUCCGUCAGCCGCGCGACGUCCAUAAAUUCCGGAUGAACGUGGCAAGCAAGAGCCAAGAAAAGGAGAGCAGGAGACAAGGCAGCCCCUCCUAGAAGAUUUCCUUGACCAUUUGAACCUGAAAACACGGUGUCGGACAGCCUCUUAUCGAUCCCGUCCAGAACCUCCCCGAAGAUGUCCAGCAAGACCACCAACACCAACAGCGUGGCCCAGGCCCGGCGAACCGUGCAGCAGCUGAGGUUGGAGGCGUCCAUAGAGAGGAUCAAGGUGUCCAAGGCGUCUGCGGACCUCAUGUCCUACUGCGAGGAGCAUGCCCGGGGGGAUCCUUUGCUCAUGGGAAUCCCGACUUCAGAAAACCCCUUCAAGGAUAAAAAAACGUGCAUCAUCUUAUAGGGCGUUGGGGAGCCCCCGGUGCCGCCCCCAUGAUCUAAGCAGCUCCAUGAAGAAACGUACCUUCCGCUCACUUGGUAACCACUGCUAAAAACGAAAAUGCUUUUAACUUGUAAAAACAAACAAACAAACAAAAAAUGAGUUUUAAAGCCUUUGUUUUUAAAAGUCUCCCUCUCUUUAGAGCAUACCCUUUACAAAAUGGAUGGGAAUCGGUCCGUUUGUCCUUGGUUUCAGUUGAAAUGACUCCAGGUGGUUCUUCUCUUAGGUCGGCUUCGGUUUGAGGGAUGCUGGUUGGGCUCGGCUUCUGUGUAAAUCCAUUGUCCAGUGAUCUGCUUUUUGAUUUGAGGGAAGACCAAAGUUGCCUCCUCCUCUUUCCAGAUCCCCCAGGCCCGCGGGUCUCUAAAACGCUUGCCCCCUCAGCACCCGUAAUCGGCCCGGUGCCUCUCUGUACAGUCCCCAAGUCUCGCAUGUGUUUGGCGUGUAUAUAUGACUUUGUAUAUAUACAUUUCAAAGUGCAGAUUUUCUAGCCCCCCGCCCCCGAGUUCUGCCUCUAGCCGGCCACCAAGGCCUCCGCCUACGGCUUCGGGGUGACGGGGACGGCCGCCCCCCAAGAGUCGUUUUCACGAUACCAAAUUCUGAUCACUUUCUCAUCGUCGUCACCCUCUUGUUUGCUUCUCUGGCCCUCACGGCCUAAAUAUAAACGGUGCCAAUUUAAGAGAGCGAAAAACAAACCCCUCUUGUAAUUCGAGGUGCUACGCUGUGAGGGCCCCCUUUGCUUUUACGGACCCAGCGCAGUCAGGAUACAGAAUCUCAAAAUCCCAGAGCCGGAUUGUCCAACCCGUGCCUAAACACGUAUCCUUUCUGUCACCCCUCCGGACAGGUCAUCCGCCUGCUCUGCCGGAGACCACGGACACCUCAGAGUUUUGUUUUUAAUUCAUAAAAUAAAAUUUAUAGGAUUACAACAAAGGAAAGCAGUUAUACCGAAAUUAUCAAAAUAGGAAAAAAAAAACAAGUUUAUGGACCCUCGUUAAAACCCCGGUCUAAUCCAGCCCAUUCCCCAUCUACACUAAGAAGUGGUCAUUGCUCAAAAACCUCCAUAAAGGUGAACCUCGCAAGGUGACCCAUUGGGAUAACCCAAAGGGCUAGGAGAUUUUUCCUAACCUCAAACCUAAAUUUGCUUCCCCUUGUUGCUCCUCGUUCAACCUUCCAAGGUCAAGCAGAAGGAGGGGAAGUGUAUUCAUGGGCCCAGUGACCAGAGAAGGGAGGUUGCAUGAAUGUGGUUUUCUCUACAAAAAAGGAAAUCAAUUAGCCUGCUAAUUGGGGGAGUCCGCCUCCUUCCUCUUGUAGGUCCAUCCAUUCUCUCUCCUCCCUCCCUUCCUCUUCCCUAAAUCUUACCUGUGUGUGGGUCUCCUCUCCUCCUCCCCUUACCUAAUCCCAGUUUGUAGAACCGCGGGCAGAAAAGGCCCAAGAUGUUGGUGGAGUGUCCCAUUCCUAGCAGCCCACCCUGCCCUGCUCUUCCUGGAGGCAAGACUAAGCAGUGUGAGAGAAGGCAACCCCCCCAAUAGAAAUACAAAGUAAAGAAGUCACCUUUCAUUCCCCCUCCCACUCAGGUCACUGCAGAGCUGAGCAGAGGACGUCCUGGGGACUUUUGGCUGGACUUAAAUGGCCCCCUCUGGGCCCAGCCCCUCCAGGCAGGUCAGGAGGGUCCUUAUGGACACAGACUGUGCACUGACUGCGCUAGACGCAUGGCAAUUCCCCUUCCCUCAUCUGUCACUCUGGGAGGCUGAUGCACUCUGACCCCUCACAGGCUUGAGCUGGGAGCCUUGGAGGCUCUCCAGAAAUGCGACUUGUUAGAAAAAUUCUUUACGAAUCCCAGUGGCCACGAACGCUGCUCCGGAAAGCCAGCCAAGGGGAUUCUGUCUAAUGGGCCCUUAGCAGACGCUCUUGGAGGCAGCAGCCCCUUUGAGGAGUGCUUUGUUCUAUCUGGGAGAAAAACCCUCCACAUCUGGAUUGAUCGUGGCCAUCAGACAGAUUCCCCUGCCUUCUUGUGGCGACUGUUGUGGAGGUUGGGAGCUUUGCCCUUCGUGCCUGGGAUUCGCCAUCACCCCUCACUACCAGCUUUGAAAACCGCUGCUCAGUGCUAUGGUUUGUCCCAUCCCCAAGUAAACGGAGGGCCUCCCCUCCCCAUGUCCAAAGCAAAAGGGUUACCCCCCCCUUCCAAAGCAUUAACUCGGCUGCGUAGAUGGGGAAAAAACCAUUCUCCCGGCCCCGACCCCCUCCUCACACUCUCCUCUUCUUCAAUGAUCUUAUUUUUGUAACGACCAUUUCCCAACUUAAUCCGUAUUUUCCAAUCUGAUUUUAACCACUAAUCAUGUAGAAUGCAGCCUGUUGCAAAAAGUGCAGUAGAGCUUGAUUCCAUGGGGACCCCGCCACUGAGGGUAGUCGCCCCUUACUCCGUAGUGUUAAACGGAUCCUUUAAUCUCUUAUUUCUAGUACUGGGCUUGCCCCGGCCAGGUCUGGCCCCUCUACCCCGCUCCACCUGCUCCUCCCCUGGCCUGCUGGAGAGCCUCCAGGCCUUCAAGCAUGGGCUCAGCUGCCCAACCAGCAGCCAAAGCCAAAUGACCCCAGAUCUAGACCUUGGCUUCUGGACCAAGACCGAAGUAAUAAUUCAGUGUUGACGGACCUAGAACCAAAAACAUUGUUGAUGUACCUAGAACCAAAAAGAUUAUAUGAGGAAAGAUAAUAUAUAUGUCUAUGCUAAACAGAAGUACAGAAGUCCCUUUUAUUUAACCGGCUCGAUCCCCCUUGUAAGGUUCAGCCGCUCUCGGAGCAGCUGCUGUGAUGAUUUGGGGCAGAUGUCUGGGUGUAUGACACCGUAAUGUUGACAGAGAUAUACGCCCACAGAUGUGUAUAUAUAAACUGUAACCCUCUGGCUUGGUUAUCACUGCACUUUCUACAGCGUGGGUUCAACGUAUGAACUUUGAUGGUAGUUUUGCCAAUAUGCUGUUUUCUCGGUUCGUCCCUUUCCCUCCAUCAUUCCAACACGUCUGUACAGUUUUUAUUUAAACUCGAGGUCUCAGUGCCAUGACCAUGUGCUAAAUAGAAUUUAUUGGUCCCAAAAUCUUUUACAGAAACACCUUUUGGACAGGGGAAAUAUUUUAUGUACCAGAUAAUCGAUUAACAAGUGAUACACUGUGUCUGCUUGCUCUUUUUUCCUACAAAAUCUGGUUUUUAAGUUCCCUGGGCGAAUUAAAAUCAAAAGUGCCAUAUUCACCUUUUAGAGAAAAGGUCUGGUGUUUGCUUUCAGCCCAAUUGAGACAAUUUUUAUACUUUUUUCAUCUAAACCACCAGAAGAAAAAUUUAUACCAAUAUUUUAGUGUAUAUAAAUGUGCAUAUGUUUUAACAGAUUCAUAGAGAUUUAUGGAAAUGCAGAGGCAUCUUUAAACCUGAGGCAGAGGCUAGAAAAACAAAUGGUGGAGGAUAUGUUCAGCUGUCUUUUCAGUUCUGUUAUAGCUAACUUUCUCGAUUUUAAAUGAAACGAGAAAAAUGGCAUUUAGCGAUCCGGUUACCCUGAAUUUCUUUUUUCUUUUGAGCUAAAACCUUCGAAAAGAUUCAUGGGCUUAGGAAGUGAAUUCUAACAUAAAUUAAUCCUUCCUUGCUGUCCGCCCUUAUACCAAAAGAUGAAUAUAUGACUAAGUGAGUGAGUAACAAUUCUCAAAGCUCUAAUUCGAAUAAUUAUGAGAAAAUCGAAUCUGGAAACUUCAGAUCGAAAUCUAUAAUUCCUGGCUUAUUGGCAGUGGUACGGAAAUUAAUCAAACCAUCCUUUUCUCUGAAUCAUAAACUGUCUCAGUUGGAAACGAUCCCAGAAGUCAUCUCGGCCAAGCCGUACUGGAAAAAGUGCUCCGGGACGACAUCCCCAAGUGUGGUCACCCGGUCCUUGCCCGACCGGGCAAGCCUCCCAGGCGAACCCUUCCGCUUUGGGAGCGUUCUGAUGGGUGGUGGGAAGAGAUUCCCGGCCUCCGGCCGCCACUGAUCUGUCUUCUGCCCUCCGGGGCCAAACGGAAUAAAUCUGAUUCUCCCUCCCCAGCCCCCUGAGCCAGGGCUCCAGGCCGCAUCCUCGGUGCCCCCCGGGCACGCGCUCUAAAGCACUGUUUUCAGAGAGGUUUCCCAGGGUUCCAAAGUCGAAGGCAGUAGGAUAGCGAGCCGGGACUGCCCGGCACCGGGUGACUCGCUUCCCGAUCCGGCCCCAGUCCCCCGGGCUGAGAAAGGACGGGCGAACCGGGUGACUUCUGGUCGUUCCAACUGGACAGACAGCUCCAUGGCCCCCCGACCCUCGCUCUCCCGCCGCCAUCUUCGUGCUGUGAGCCUCGCUGUGCUGCUGCUAUCUAAAUGUCGCUCCCCUCUCACGUCGCCCGCGCUAACGGCCCCCGAAAGUGUUUCUCCUGCCGCUAUUUUCUCACAGUUGGAAAACCUGCCUUUGUUACUCCCGUGGCGAUGAUGGUGUUUUGUUCCCUCCCGACUUUGUGGACUCCGUGACUUGCUUAAUGUUCUCUGUAUUGUUCGUGUGACUCCCCUGCGUGUCCUUUGGGUGUCCCCGAAAAUUUGCCUUUGAUUUCUAGUCCCUGAGACUCAGCCGUGUCAGAGCCUUCUCUGGCCCCUUGUAUGUUGUGUCGUGCGUAACCUUGACGCUGUGAUCAUCGUCCGAAAGACUGUCAAAGAUGGAAGCGUUUCUCUCCCAGCUCCUAUGUUCAAUAGCACGGAUACCAAUCAAACGAAUUAAAACAUCACGGCUUUCUAUUCUGCAUCGGCCUCCGCUUGUCUCAUUCUGUUCCCGGCGCUUCUCGGAGGGGUCCCUGGCCUUCCCGGGGCUGACAGAUGGACCGGCCCCAGGCCGCAACCCUCGCCCUCGGGACCAUCCCUCCUCCCUCCCCCGUGGUUCGGAGCCUCUCCCCCCACUUCCAUCCCUGGGGGAG